RNAcentral lists this ribosomal RNA (253 nucleotides) under uncultured bacterium. RNAcentral's name for it is "partial 16S ribosomal RNA". It matches the Rfam family "Bacterial small subunit ribosomal RNA", at positions 524 to 776 of the family's 1533-position model. The record is from RNAcentral.
UACGGAGGAUCCAAGCGUUGUCCGGAUUUAUUGGGUUUAAAGGGUGCGUAGGCGGACUAUUAAGUCAGUGGUGAAAUCUUGCAGCUUAACUGUAAAAGUGCCAUUGAAACUGAUAGUCUUGAGUGUGGUUGAGGUAGAUGGAAUGUAUCAUGUAGCGGUGAAAUGCUUAGAUAUGAUACAGAACACCAAUUGCGAAGGCAGUCUACUAAGCCAUUACUGACGCUAAGGCACGAAAGCGUGGGGAGCGAACAGG